Molecule: ribosomal RNA, 254 nt
Filed under: uncultured bacterium
Lineage: Bacteria
Description: partial 16S ribosomal RNA
Rfam family: Bacterial small subunit ribosomal RNA
Source: RNAcentral
UACGGGGGGAGCAAGCGUUGUUCGGAUUUACUGGGCGUAAAGGGCGCGUAGGCGGCCACCGCAAGUCAGUUGUGAAAUCUCUGGGCUUAACCCAGAAAGGUCAACUGAUACUGCGGGGCUAGAGUGCAGAAGGGGCAACUGGAAUUCUCGGUGUAGCGGUGAAAUGCGUAGAUAUCGAGAGGAACACCUGCGGCGAAGGCGGGUUGCUGGGCUGACACUGACGCUGAGGAGCGAAAGCGUGGGGAGCGAACAGG